GCUAGCGUAGCUUAACUAAAGCAUAACACUGAAGAUGUUAAGACGGUCCCUAGAAAGGUCCCGUGAAGCA
RNAcentral lists this transfer RNA (70 nucleotides) under Tropheops sp. 'red cheek'. Its description in RNAcentral is "tRNA-Phe". Lineage: Eukaryota; Metazoa; Chordata; Actinopteri; Cichliformes; Cichlidae. The record is from RNAcentral.